CCUACGAGUGGCAGCAGUGAGGAAUAUUGGGCCAUGGGGGCAACUCUGACCCAGCCAUGCCGCGUGAGUGAAGAAGGUCUUCGGAUUGUAAAGUUCUUUCGGACGUGACGAUGAUGACGGUAGCGCCUAAAGAAGCACCGGCAAACUACGUGCCACCAGCCGCGGUAAUACGAAGGGUGCGAGCGUGGUUCGGAAUUACUGGGCGUAAAGGGAGUGUAGGCGGAUAUGUAAGAUAGCGGUGAAAUGCCGGGGCACAACCCCGGAACGACCAUUAAGACUAUGUAUCUAGAGUGAUGGAGGGGAUAGCGGAAUACCCAGUGUAGAGGUGGAAUGCGUAGAUAGUGGGUAGAACACCGGUGGCGAAGGCGGCUAUCUGGACAUUUACUGACGCUGAGGCUCGAAAGCAUGGGGAUCAAACAGGAUUAGAUACCCGAGUAGUC
This 440-nucleotide ribosomal RNA is filed under the name uncultured bacterium. RNAcentral describes it as "partial 16S ribosomal RNA". It matches the Rfam family "Bacterial small subunit ribosomal RNA", at positions 338 to 795 of the family's 1533-position model. The record is from RNAcentral.